UAUGAUUUGUCUUGCUUGACUUUUAUUAAAUCGAGAAUUUGGAAGGACAUGUCUUCGUAUGCAGGUAAGGAUGGCCGGAUCCUGUGGCAUCCACCUACAUGAGUCUCUCUCUCUCUCUCUCUCUCUUCUCUCUCUGGGAAAUUCUCAUGUGAGUCCCCUUUUCAGUCAUGUUUGAGUUGAUAAAUACAGGUGCUCAAGAGGUUAUGUAGCCUUCUCUUCAUUUUUCCAGAAUAAAACAGGUUAUGUAGUCUUCUGGUAGUUAUUUUAGAGGGGCUUUGUUUAGUUAGAUGUUGAUGACUAAUUUUAGCCUAGUCAUAGCCUUUGCUAUAUAGAUUCUGAACUGCAAAUGGUGAUGAUGGCCCUUUUUCUGAUUUAUCAGGUGGUUGAAGAAGCUACCUAAUUUGAUUGUGUGAUCCCAUCUUCUAGACUUUAUGGUGCCGUGCUUCCUUUUGUUUUUCAAUGGCGUCUGGUUCCUGGGAUAUCAAUUGAUCUUUAUUAUUGUAGGACUUUCCUAUUUCCUCUCAAUAUAGAUCUCCU
This 537-nucleotide long non-coding RNA is filed under the name Eucalyptus grandis. RNAcentral describes it as "long non-coding RNA (EGRA_LNC007107)". The record is from RNAcentral. Lineage: Eukaryota; Viridiplantae; Streptophyta; Magnoliopsida; Myrtales; Myrtaceae.